This 450-nucleotide ribosomal RNA is filed under the name uncultured bacterium. RNAcentral's name for it is "partial 16S ribosomal RNA". It matches the Rfam family "Bacterial small subunit ribosomal RNA", at positions 354 to 796 of the family's 1533-position model. The record is from RNAcentral.
GUGGGGAAUUUUGGACAAUGGGCGAAAGCCUGAUCCAGCAAUGUCGCGUGUGUGAAGAAGGCCUUCGGGUUGUAAAGCACUUUUGGCAGGGAAGAAACAGUGCGUGCUAAUACCAUGCGCGAAUGACGGUACCUGCAGAAUAAGCACCGGCUAACUACGUGCCAGCAGCCGCGGUAAUACGUAGGGUGCAAGCGUUAAUCGGAAUUACUGGGCGUAAAGCGUGCGCAGGCGGCUUUGUAAGACGGAUGUGAAAGCCCCGGGCUCAACCUGGGAAGUGCAUUCGUGACUGCAAGGCUAGAGUGUGUCAGAGGGAGGUGGAAUUCCGCGUGUAGCAGUGAAAUGCGUAGAGAUGCGGAGGAACACCGAUGGCGAAGGCAGCCUCCUGGGAUAACACUGACGCUCAGGCACGAAAGCGUGGGGAGCAAACAGGAUUAGAAACCCCUGUAGUCC